RNAcentral lists this ribosomal RNA (459 nucleotides) under uncultured bacterium. RNAcentral's name for it is "partial 16S ribosomal RNA". It matches the Rfam family "Bacterial small subunit ribosomal RNA", at positions 338 to 795 of the family's 1533-position model. The record is from RNAcentral.
CCUACGGGUGGCAGCAGUGAGGAAUAUUGGUCAAUGGGCGCGAGCCUGAACCAGCCAAGUCGCGUGAGGGAAGACGGUCCUAUGGAUUGUAAACCUCUUUUGUCGGGGAGCAAAAGACGCCACGCGUGGCGUUCCGAGAGUACCCGAAGAAAAAGCAUCGGCUCACUCCGUGCCAGCAGCCGCGGUAAUACGGCGGCUGCGAGCGUUAUCAGGUGUUGUUGGUUUUAAAGGGUGCGCAGGCGGAAGAUCAAGUCAGCGGUAAAAUUGAGGGGCUCAACCUCUUCGAGCCGUUGAAACUGGUUUUCUUGAGUGAGUGAGAAGUCGGCGGAAUGCGUGGUGUAGCGGUGACAUGCAUAGAUAUCACGCAGAACUCCGAUGGCGAAGGCAGCAUACCGGCGCUCAACUGACGCUCAUGCACGAAAGUGUGGGUAUCGAACAGGAUUAGAUACCCCUGUAGUC